Zea mays is the source of this 3380-nucleotide RNA transcript. RefSeq lists it as uncharacterized. The transcript has 3 exons. Lineage: Eukaryota; Viridiplantae; Streptophyta; Magnoliopsida; Poales; Poaceae. The record is from RefSeq and is a predicted model, not a curated record.
UCGACGAGGCUAGGCCUAGCGUCGCGGGGAGCCGGGGCGAUGGGGGAGAUGCUCCAAGACAAGGUUGGCGGCGCCGUGGAAACGCCUGGCCUCUCGAUGAUAGGGUUUUUCCCGACCGGAAAAGAUGUUUCUCUGGAGGAAAGUCUGUUGAGUGUUUGGGCUUCCAAACACGUAGAAGUAAAAACUCCAGAGAAAUGUCCGCUUGGGCUUUCUUCCUGGAGAAAAUGCCGGGAAACAGGUGGGUUUUUAUGGUACCAAACUGUCCCUUAGAGUAACAAAAUGGUACAGUUUUUUUAGAGCAACAGAAUGGCACAGUUUGGCGUACCGUGCAUGUGGGCUGGGAGAACCAGAUUUGGCCCAAUAAGUCUCCAACACCAGUUGUCACGAUUCCAUGGUCAUCGUUUUUACAGAAACGUCCCUAAACUUAUGUCUAAUUAAAACCCACGGUCCAACUUAUCUGUUUCCACCGUCCCGCUGAACCCGCACCCAACAGAAACGCGCAGCUUUCCUAACGCGCGCAGAGCCGCCUUCUCAACCUCCUCCCGGACGGCACGCUCUCCGCAGCUUCCUCGCCAUCUCAUCCACCCAUACCGCGUGCAGCUUCUUCAACCUCUCCCUCCCUCCGAUAUCUCGUCUCCCAUCCUACGGCGGAGCCCUCGGGGACAACCACGAGUGCCUAAGAUCCCGUCCUCUGCGUUGACCAUCGAGGGAUCGCCAUGGCGUUGAGGGCGUCCCCCGUGUCGCAUCGCAUGGCGCCGACCGCCGAGGGCCGAGGCAGCGCCACUGCCGCUGUUCGCGCGGAGGAGGAUGGCCCGUGGGGUGUAAGUGGCCAUGGCGUCCACCACCAUCAACAGGUGAGCACAGUGGAUCCCUCGCCUCUCGCUGUCUUCCUGACCUACAGUUCGAGGCAAGUCGCGGCGCCGUCGACCCCUUCGCGGGUGCCAGAGUUACUGGACUUGGAUUAUGCCUCAGCAGUUAGCAGUUAUUCAGUGUGUGAUCGUGCAAGGAUCUGCUGACAGAAAGCAGUUGGCGAUGGAGCAACUGCUGUAAGAGAGAAGUGAUCAGGAUCCAUAUGGCCGGCCUUGGAUUGUCCAGCCGUCUUCCAUGUCGCCCCGCACACCAUCUUUAGAUUGUUUUGCCAGUGCUGGUGCGCAGGGAGCCGUAACUGCAGGUCAUUUCGGAAGAUGCCAUUCUUUGGACAUUGAAAAGAAGCAUGUUAAUUUGAUAGAUGAGUAGUCACAAAAGCUAAUAUCCAGUGGGUAGUUUGAUGGAAAGGAACUAGACAGGUAACCCUAUUUUUCCAACCAGUGGUGCGCUUUCGUUUCCAUAUAACCGUUGUGCGUUAAUAUUUUAUCAAAUAAUUUAUAUACCGUCGCAACGCAUAUAUAUUCUACUAGUAUAACUUUAUUUUUCAGCUCUGUUUGUGAAGGAGUUGACUUGGUCGCAGACGUUAUGGUAGAAGUGUUUGACAAAAGAGCCCGGCCAACUGAAUUUCCUAAGCCUGAGGGCUGAUACUGAGUUUGGACCGGCGAUAACUGGGCAUUUUCAAAAAUGUUUGGAACAAAACUCUUGGGUGAAUUGUGAAAUCAAAAUUUUGAGUGUACAAUUUCAGAAAAGAAAAAAUUCGCCCCCAGCGAAAACCAGGGAAUUUCCGAAAUGUCGGGAAUUCUAGUUCAAAAGCAAAUAGGGUUUUAAAAAGCGGUAUAAUUCAUAUUAAAAUGCCAAUUUCGGAAAUAUAUAUAUUUCGGACCCACCAAAACUCAAGAAAAUUUCGGAGAUUUCUGCCCGAAAUUGGGAACCCUGCUCUCGAAAGCUUGGCCUUCAAAACUCGAAUUUUUACCAAUAGGUUCCACAAAUGAAACGUCUACUCAAAUUUUUGGAGAAGACAAAAGUUUGAACAUUCCAUCAUGUAUAUUUAAUAUCUAAGGUUACAUUCAUGGUCAGAGUUUCACAAGUAUUCAUAAAUGCAGGGAGAACUCUUCUCAAGUGCUUGUCGUUUUGAACAGCUCGGUGCUAAAAAAAAAUGGCAUUAAAUAUUUUAGUAUCGUGAACCCAUGCUUUUCAAAACAAGUGACAGGAUGAUGAUGACCAGCCUAAAUAGCUAAAUAACAAUAUAAUGUCCAUGGUCAGAGUUUGAUGAGUUUUGGGAACCUGCAGGGCAUCUGAGUUGGGCCAGGAAGCUGAAAUGUCUUUUACUGAGAUGGUAAUAUAUGGUAUACGCCUAUAGAAGCUACAAAGCCAUGGAAAGACCAGAACAUACCUUGUUGGAACAGUCCCAAAUCUUCGAGUGCUUGUUGUGAUGUCUAUGGACAUUGGACAGUGAUAAAUGAUGACGCAACUGACAUACAUCCGCUUAUCUAGAAAACAAAGGGAGGGAAAAUAUAAACAGAACAGUAAGAAACGAGCUAACAACUAUGCAUUUCUUUCUAGCAAAAUUCUUCUUGCAGUGGAGAGCAGAGAUCAGUAAUAUGCCGACUGACCUGCAAGCUGAAGCAGAAGGGGUCCAUGGAGCGAGCUGAGGUCGCACAACAAGCGCAGCAAGCUGUGGCGGCGGCUGCUGCUGCUGCUGUAAGUGCAGAAUGGAAGGUGAUGAAGGAUGCAUGGAUUCAGAGGCUUGCCAGCAAGCUGUGGUUGUUUGGGUGGAGAGCCUCAAGGAGUUCUAGAUCUGACUUCUAUAUACCAAGUCCCGUUGCCAAGUCAAGUCAACUAAAGAUACAAAGUCAUCUAAUGAAAUUAAUGACCAACUCAGGCUCAGACUCGUCCUCGAGUUUCAUUUGUUUUUUCUCCACCGAACAACACACCCACUCAUCUCCCUUUGCCUGAGAGUUUGGCCAAGCAACUCGCGACAAACACGUCCCUCCCGUAUUGUCAGUCUCUUAGGUGCCGUUUGGUUCACAUAUUGGCAACGUAAUGGGUAACCAAUAACGUUAGAUCAUAUGUUUAUUUAAGUCCAACCGUAAUCGAUAUCACACUACAAAUGGAUACCUCCUUAUUCAAAUUUGUUACCACCGGUAUUCAAGUGUGAAUCGUUACCAUUUACGUUACAUUUCGUGAAUCAAACGGCACCUUAGGUUGGAUGGGACAUGUCUGUUCUAGUUUUGUGGAAUGGCAUGCAGUGUCUGUGUCCACGGGCGAACUGGAAGACGACCCGAUGAUUAGACCAUAACCUAACAUGUAACCAGUAACUGUUGGUAGGUGGUUCAGAGUGAAAGUAGCUGUAGUGUGUAAAGUGGUAUCAGCUUUGAAGUCUGUAUGUUUUAAUAGUUGCUUCUCAAAGAUCAAAAUAGUCGAUCAGAGAGUGUGAAGAAGAAAAAAAAUACUUUGAAAAUUUGACUGCUGUCCCGAUUUCAACCCCAAAGCUCAAGAACACCAUAAAGGAG